UAGAGUACUAUAACUCCUUAAAACCCACUGUGAAUAUACCUAUCGUUGCUUCGGCGGGAUCGCCCCGGCGCCUCUAGGCCCGGAUCCAGGCGCCCGCCGAGGGCCCCAAACUCUUGUUUCUGCUGUGGCAUUAUCUGAGUGGCUUAUAGCAAAUAAUCA
Molecule: unclassified non-coding RNA, 159 nt
Filed under: uncultured Hypocreales
Lineage: Eukaryota; Fungi; Ascomycota; Sordariomycetes; Hypocreales
Description: sequence contains ITS1
Source: RNAcentral